CAUAGGUUAAUGAGGCGAACCGGGGGAACUGAAACAUCUAAGUACCCCGAGGAAAAGAAAUCAACCGAGAUUCCCCCAGUAGCGGCGAGCGAACGGGGAGGAGCCCAGAGCCUGAAUCAGUGUGUGUGUUAGUGGAAGCGUCUGGAAAGGCGCGCGAUACAGGGUGACAGCCCCGUACACAAAAAUGCACAUGCUGUGAGCUCGAUGAGUAGGGCGGGACACGUGGUAUCCUGUCUGAAUAUGGGGGGACCAUCCUCCAAGGCUAAAUACUCCUGACUGACCGAUAGUGAACCAGUACCGUGAGGGAAAGGCGAAAAGAACCCCGGCGAGGGGAGUGAAAAAGAACCUGAAACCGUGUACGUACAAGCAGUGGGAGCCUCUUAAUGGGGUGACUGCGUACCUUUUGUAUAAUGGGUCAGCGACUUAUAUUCUGUAGCAAGGUUAACCGAAUAGGGGAGCCGAAGGGAAACCGAGUCUUAACUGGGCGUUAAGUUGCAGGGUAUAGACCCGAAACCCGGUGAUCUAGCCAUGGGCAGGUUGAAGGUUGGGUAACACUAACUGGAGGACCGAACCGACUAAUGUUGAAAAAUUAGCGGAUGACUUGUGGCUGGGGGUGAAAGGCCAAUCAAACCGGGAGAUAGCUGGUUCUCCCCGAAAGCUAUUUAGGUAGCGCCUCGUGAAUUCAUCUCCGGGGGUAGAGCACUGUUUCGGCAAGGGGGUCAUCCCGACUUACCAACCCGAUGCAAACUGCGAAUACCGGAGAAUGUUAUCACGGGAGACACACGGCGGGUGCUAACGUCCGUCGUGAAGAGGGAAACAACCCAGACCGCCAGCUAAGGUCCCAAAGUCAUGGUUAAGUGGGAAACGAUGUGGGAAGGCCCAGACAGCCAGGAUGUUGGCUUAGAAGCAGCCAUCAUUUAAAGAAAGCGUAAUAGCUCACUGGUCGAGUCGGCCUGCGCGGAAGAUGUAACGGGGCUAAACCAUGCACCGAAGCUGCGGCAGCGACACUAUGUGUUGUUGGGUAGGGGAGCGUUCUGUA
This 1039-nucleotide ribosomal RNA is filed under the name Escherichia coli. Its description in RNAcentral is "partial 23S ribosomal RNA". It matches the Rfam family "Bacterial large subunit ribosomal RNA", at positions 165 to 1245 of the family's 2925-position model. The record is from RNAcentral. Lineage: Bacteria; Pseudomonadati; Pseudomonadota; Gammaproteobacteria; Enterobacterales; Enterobacteriaceae.